UUUAAUGUGGCGGAAUUUUACGCGGUAAACUUAAAAUUUACAUAUGUAGCUCAGGCUUCCUUUAAAA
Molecule: transfer RNA, 67 nt
Filed under: Pealius machili
Lineage: Eukaryota; Metazoa; Arthropoda; Insecta; Hemiptera; Aleyrodidae
Description: tRNA-Leu
Source: RNAcentral